UGAUUAUCUCAUUGUACAUAAUUCGGAUGGUAUUCCCGUUUAUUUAUAAUGAAAAUAUACUCGUUUAGGAUUCUAAAAAUAUAAGGUUUAACCCAUAAUUAAUUUUGUACAAUUUUUAAUGAUUUUCCAAAGUCAGAACAGGGGAUUCCAAAAUUAUUCUGACUCUAUCUCACAAAAUUUAUUAUAUCUCAUGAUUUACAAUUCCAUUGCUUACACCGUUUCUUCUAUGAGAAACUAGACUCGAUAAGAUUUAAUUUCAUAUUUUACUCAUCUUCUAAUUCGAUUCCCACGAUUUUUGGUGAUUUUUCAAAGUUGGCACACAGCUGCUGCCCAAAACUGUUUUAGUGCAACAUUUUGAUUACCAUUUUGACCCUAAACUUUUAACACAUGACAAUUUCAUCCCUAGGCUCGGAAAAUGAAAUUCUUGCAAUUUAAUCCUUGAUCCAAGCCUAAUAGUUCUCAUACAUAUCAAUAAAAGCCCAUGGAUUCCAUGAAAUUUCAGAAUUUCUCCACAAUUUCAAUACUUUUCAACUUAAUCCCUAAAACAUGUUUUCAUCCAAAAUUCUUUAAUAAAACACCUUUAAACAUCCAUUAACAUCUCAAUUUCAUCAUAAAAUAACAAAAAUCAUAUGAACUUAUCAUUGGUAUCUUCCAAAACUUUCAACAAAAUGAGAAACUAGUAGAAUACUAAGUUGGAUCUAAUUGUAAAAGUCUAAAAAUAUAAAAAUUUCAAGGAAAAAGCAAGAAUUAAACUUACUUGAAGCCAAAAUAUGGAAUACCAGCUCCAAACCCUCUUCCAUGGCUAUUUCCCACCGAAAUUUCAAGAAGAAAUGGUCUUGAAAUCCUU
This 847-nucleotide long non-coding RNA is filed under the name Gossypium raimondii (Peruvian cotton). RNAcentral describes it as "long non-coding RNA (GRAI_LNC007264)". The record is from RNAcentral. Lineage: Eukaryota; Viridiplantae; Streptophyta; Magnoliopsida; Malvales; Malvaceae.